GUGGAUUAGAUACCCGAGUAGUCCUGGCAGUAAACGGUGUGCGCUUGGUGUGAGGGGAUUCGACCCCCCUUGUGCCGGAGCUAACGCGUUAAGCGCACCGCCUGGGAAGUACGGCCGCAAGGCUAAAACUCAAAGAAAUUGACGGGGACCCGCACAAGCGGUGGAGUAUGUGGCUUAAUUCGAUGCAACGCGAAGAACCUUACCAAGGCUUGACAUGCAUCUCUAAUCGCGUGAAAGCGCGUGACCCUUCGGGGAAUUUGCACAGGUGCUGCACGGCCGUCGCCAACU
RNAcentral lists this ribosomal RNA (288 nucleotides) under uncultured bacterium. RNAcentral describes it as "partial 16S ribosomal RNA". It matches the Rfam family "Bacterial small subunit ribosomal RNA", at positions 773 to 1060 of the family's 1533-position model. The record is from RNAcentral.